This 291-nucleotide unclassified non-coding RNA is filed under the name Hevea brasiliensis (rubber tree). The record is from RNAcentral. Lineage: Eukaryota; Viridiplantae; Streptophyta; Magnoliopsida; Malpighiales; Euphorbiaceae.
ACCUACUUGAUUAUUAUAAUCCUCAAACUUGGCUACGAGAAGUCAAAUUGAAUUUGAAUAUUUUGUUAGUCAAAUCCAUUGUUAUACUUCUACUUGAAGGGCAUUCAGGAUCAGUACUUUUAUCUGUUUUGAUUUCUCAAUAGGUUAAGCAUCAGUAACUUAUUAAAGAAAUGCUAAUAGUUUUUGGCAUUAAAGUUGUACCUGUCCAAUUGUCAAAAAACAAUAAUUUCCCUCAUUUUUAUUGAGGCUUUUCCUGAUGUAUUUACCAAGAGUUGUCUAUUAUUGAUGUUG